RNAcentral lists this ribosomal RNA (427 nucleotides) under uncultured bacterium. RNAcentral's name for it is "partial 16S ribosomal RNA". It matches the Rfam family "Bacterial small subunit ribosomal RNA", at positions 355 to 774 of the family's 1533-position model. The record is from RNAcentral.
UGGGGAAUAUUGCACAAUGGGCGCAAGCCUGAUGCAGCCAUGCCGCGUGUAUGAAGAAGGCCUUCGGGUUGUAAAGUACUUUCAGCGGGGAGGAAGGUGUUGUGGUUAAUAACCACAGCAAUUGACGUUACCCGCAGAAGAAGCACCGGCUAACUCCGUGCCAGCAGCCGCGGUAAUACGGAGGGUGCAAGCGUUAAUCGGAAUUACUGGGCGUAAAGCGCACGCAGGCGGUCUGUCAAGUCGGAUGUGAAAUCCCCGGGCUCAACCUGGGAACUGCAUCCGAAACUGGCAGGCUUGAGUCUUGUAGAGGGGGGUAGAAUUCCAGGUGUAGCGGUGAAAUGCGUAGAGAUCUGGAGGAAUACCGGUGGCGAAGGCGGCCCCCUGGACAAAGACUGACGCUCAGGUGCGAAAGCAUGGGGAGCAAACA